Molecule: ribosomal RNA, 1021 nt
Filed under: Klebsiella variicola
Lineage: Bacteria; Pseudomonadati; Pseudomonadota; Gammaproteobacteria; Enterobacterales; Enterobacteriaceae
Description: bacterial SSU rRNA
Rfam family: Bacterial small subunit ribosomal RNA
Source: RNAcentral
GAUCUGUUCGGCCGCGUCAACAACCUUUUCGACCGGGAGUACGUCGGGUCCGUUAUCGUUAAUGAGUCCAACGGGCGCUACUACGAGCCUGCUCCCGGACGCAACUACGGCAUCGGCCUGAACCUCGCCUGGCGCUUCGAAUAACACGCCCCUUCCCCGCCGGCGGUGAUUGGCGGGGAAGGCUUAACGAUGUGGCGUUUUCCCCACGGACGCGGGUUGAAGGCGGCCCCCUGGACAAAGACUGACGCUCAGGUGCGAAAGCGUGGGGAGCAAACAGGAUUAGAUACCCUGGUAGUCCACGCUGUAAACGAUGUCGAUUUGGAGGUUGUGCCCUUGAGGCGUGGCUUCCGGAGCUAACGCGUUAAAUCGACCGCCUGGGGAGUACGGCCGCAAGGUUAAAACUCAAAUGAAUUGACGGGGGCCCGCACAAGCGGUGGAGCAUGUGGUUUAAUUCGAUGCAACGCGAAGAACCUUACCUGGUCUUGACAUCCACAGAACUUAGCAGAGAUGCUUUGGUGCCUUCGGGAACUGUGAGACAGGUGCUGCAUGGCUGUCGUCAGCUCGUGUUGUGAAAUGUUGGGUUAAGUCCCGCAACGAGCGCAACCCUUAUCCUUUGUUGCCAGCGGUUAGGCCGGGAACUCAAAGGAGACUGCCAGUGAUAAACUGGAGGAAGGUGGGGAUGACGUCAAGUCAUCAUGGCCCUUACGACCAGGGCUACACACGUGCUAUAAUGGCAUAUACAAAGAGAAGCGACCUCGCGAGAGCAAGCGGACCUCAUAAAGUAUGUCGUAGUCCGGAUUGGAGUCUGCAACUCGACUCCAUGAAGUCGGAAUCGCUAGUAAUCGUAGAUCAGAAUGCUACGGUGAAUACGUUCCCGGGCCUUGUACACACCGCCCGUCACACCAUGGGAGUGGGUUGCAAAAGAAGUAGGUAGCUUAACCUUCGGGAGGGCGCUUACCACUUUGUGAUUCAUGACUGGGGUGAAGUCGUAACAAGGUAACCGUAGGGGAACCUGCGGUUG